RNAcentral lists this ribosomal RNA (460 nucleotides) under uncultured bacterium. RNAcentral's name for it is "partial 16S ribosomal RNA". It matches the Rfam family "Bacterial small subunit ribosomal RNA", at positions 338 to 795 of the family's 1533-position model. The record is from RNAcentral.
CCUACGGGUGGCAGCAGUGAGGAAUAUUGGUCAAUGGGCUUACGCCUGAACCAGCCAAGUCGCGUGAGGGAAGACUGCCCUAUGGGUUGUAAACCUCUUUUGUGAGGGAGUAAAGCUGUCCACGUGUAGCUGGAUUGAGAUUACCCGUGGAAAAAGCACCGGUUAAUCCCGUGCCAGCGGCCGCGGUAAUACGGAGGAUGCGAGGGUAUCCGGUAUUUUUGGGUUUAAAGGGGUGCGUAGGCGGAAUGCAAAGGUACCGGUAAAUUUGGGGGGUUCAACCUGGCUCCGCGGUUGGAACUGGCGUUCUUGAGUGCGCGGAAGGUAUGCGGAAUUCGUGGUGUAGCGGUGAAAUGCAUAGAUAUCACGAAGAACUCCGAUUGCGAAGGCAGCAUGCCGGAGCCCUACUGACGCUGAAGCUCGAAAGCGUGGGUAUCGAACAGGAUUAGAUACCCUUGUAGUC